UUAAAUCGGCGUAGAAGAGACGUAUUGCGAAAAUGUUAUUGUAGUUUUAUUCGAAGAAAAGGUACAAAUCACAAACGUGUCAUCGAAAUAUUCAUUAGGUCCUGAAAGGAAAUAACAAAACAAAGAGGCACCUUUCAAUAUAAACGCAAUCCACGGCAGAUAUCAAAAGGAACAAAAUAUCAAAGAUUGUUUUGUCCCUAGUAGCACCUAAUUGAACGUAGAUGGAAAGAUAUAAUGCCCACGGCCUGGCCUUAUUUUACGCUCAACGAUGAAAAUUAACAUGAUAUAUGCGUAACAUGCCAAGUGCGAAAGUAAUGUUAGCUGUUUUACAAUAGUCUCACACAGGUUUCUGUUUCAAAGGGUUGGUGAAGACACCAUCAUCGAUAUUUAACUUCAGGAGACCGCUGAGAGUACCUUGCAUCCAAAACUCAUUUCGCAAAAAGGAUAAACGCUGCCUAAUUCAUCUUUGCAAUAUCAAGGCAUUCUCAGAGGAAAGACGCCACCAAGGGUCGACAAGACUCUUACGAUAACAUGCCAGCGCCUUCGUCAAAGACAAGCUGCAGGUUUGAGAGUUCCAGAAUAACAGUAAGUCAGCAACGUAUUUCGGGCGCUCCCAAAAAAGAACUGAAUCGGAUGACGUUCUGCACCGAUACACUUUUUUAAAAGGUAACUGAGCUGCGUAACCAGUAACUGAAACGAAACACUAGGUUUUCUCAAAGUUUAGGUCAGUUAAAAAGAAAUAGACUAAUAUCGUCACUUUCGACAUGAUGAUGUUUCUAUUCUUGAUGUUCUUUAAGAAUCUUCUUGUCUCCCUUAACCGUAAUGUCAUUAAAGUAGCUAUCACAUGCUACCUUUUAUUAUUGAUGAUGAUCAGCUUUCAUUACGACCUCUACAGUAAAAUGACAUUUAAAUAAUGAUUCAGAACGUGCCGAGAUAAUUUUUUCAAAGUAUGAACCAAGGAUUCUCGUUCAGAAAUCGACCCAACCAUGAUGUUUCGUGGUUUCAAGCAUGACUGAUUUAAAAUUGUUUUUGCCUUGCAGUUUUUUGUUUGGACAUUCAGUUCUCAGUGCGAACACUUUAAUAAUUUUCUGAUGUUACUGAAAACAAAAAAGGAAACAGGGUUUAUCGCCAGAG
This 1134-nucleotide unclassified non-coding RNA is filed under the name Orbicella faveolata. RNAcentral's name for it is "5-hydroxytryptamine receptor 1A-alpha-like, transcript variant X4". The record is from RNAcentral. Lineage: Eukaryota; Metazoa; Cnidaria; Anthozoa; Scleractinia; Merulinidae.